UCUCCUCAACGGCGAAUUGGUAACGGUGACUACAGUAGACUGUUUAAGCAACUAAGCAACUCAAGUCCCAUGGCGAUUACAAAUCAUGAGUGGCUGCUGCACUAUUCUUUAUUUGACGGUCUCUAUGUGGAGGGUUUCAGAACUUUCUCUAGGUGUAGACCGGAUUAGUAGCGGUACACGCUUGCAACUAGCAAAAAUUGCAAGAUGCAGGGUUGCGUUUUCUCUUUCCAAUGCAUGGUGGAUGACCGCUAAUGUAUGUGGGAUAUGGAUGUCUUCAUAUUUGUGGUGGGUACAAGUAAUGUUAAAUUGAAAUUUGAGGCCCUCUUUUCAUUACAACCAGUAGCAAAAUUUAGGUUUUGGUGAGAAGAAAGGUGAACCUAAUGGCUAUAGCACUAUUGAGAAGAAUGUUUCAGUCACUGGAGAAAUUGAGGAACAAAUGAAGUUGAUAGAAGAA
Molecule: long non-coding RNA, 454 nt
Organism: Triticum aestivum (bread wheat)
Lineage: Eukaryota; Viridiplantae; Streptophyta; Magnoliopsida; Poales; Poaceae
Exons: 3
Source: RefSeq, a predicted model, not a curated record